Molecule: ribosomal RNA, 450 nt
Filed under: uncultured prokaryote
Description: bacterial SSU rRNA
Rfam family: Bacterial small subunit ribosomal RNA
Source: RNAcentral
UGAGGAAUUUUGCGCAAUGGGGGAAACCCUGACGCAGCGACGCCGCGUGGAGGACGAAGGCCUUCGGGUCGUAAACUCCUGUCAAGUGGGACGAAUGCUACGGGGAUGAAUGAGCUCCGUGGUUGACGGUACCACUGAAGGAAGCCCCGGCUAACUCCGUGCCAGCAGCCGCGGUAAUACGGAGGGGGCUAGCGUUGUUCGGAAUUAUUGGGCGUAAAGGGCGCGUAGGCGGCUUGGUAAGUCAGACGUGAAAUCCCGCGGCUCAACUGCGGAACUGCGUUUGAAACUGCCGGGCUUGAGUCCCGGAGAGGGUAGCGGAAUUCCCAGUGUAGCGGUGAAAUGCGUAGAUAUUGGGAGGAACACCAGUGGCGAAGGCGGCUACCUGGACGGGUACUGACGCUGAGGCGCGAAAGCGUGGGGAGCAAACAGGAUUAGAUACCCGCGUAGUCC